Anastrepha ludens (Mexican fruit fly) is the source of this 785-nucleotide long non-coding RNA. RefSeq lists it as uncharacterized. The record is from RefSeq and is a predicted model, not a curated record. The transcript is spliced from 3 exons. NCBI's taxonomy places the organism in Eukaryota, Metazoa, Arthropoda, Insecta, Diptera, Tephritidae.
CCAUUGAACCCAAAAUUAAAACGUCAUAUGCGUGUAUGUCGUAAGCAGGCACAAUAACCCCCAUUCCCAUCAUUAACACUAAACUCAAGUACUUAUUUUUUGUUUUCAUUUGCAGGCAUCCGGCAACACCAUACUGUUGGCAUUCCAAUCUUCUUCUUAUUCGCGCUUAAAAUUGGAAUGUGAUUGCAUAGACAAAUGUAUUUGCAUUUAAUUUUAAUAGAUAUAAUUAGAAUAUUAGCAUAAAAAUCGGUAAAAACACGCGUGUGAGUGUAUAUUUCGUGAUUUAUAGUGAAAUGUUAAAAAAUAUAGAGUGUAAUGUGGCAAAUUACACUGAUGUUCCCAAGGGCAUUUUGAAUGAAAGAAACGCGAAAUGAUAAAAAAAAUUCUUGGAAAAUUUAAAAUGAAUGGUGCUUCAUUGGAAAAAUUCAAAGAAGUACACCACACAACAACUCAUUCCAACUCUGAUUUUGAAAUCCUGUUGGAAUUGGUGAUCGAUAAUUUUGUCACUAUAAUGGUCAAUGGAAAUUUGCGUGUAUCAGACCCUGCAUAUUAUUUACCAUAUAUACUUUUUAUGGAACAUAUGGACCAAAUGAACACAAAAAAAUAAUUUAGUUUUGUUUUGAUUUUUUGCAACAUUUUGGUUUUUAGUUAAUACAAUAAAAACAAUACUGUUUUUUCGUGAACACAAAAUUCUAAAUUUAUUACGUUGUUUGUUUAGAAUUUUUUUAGAAAAAAAGUAAAUUUUUUGGUUUUGAGGAAAUUUGUUUAUUGUUGCUAUUUGUGAA